This 484-nucleotide ribosomal RNA is filed under the name uncultured bacterium. RNAcentral's name for it is "partial 16S ribosomal RNA". It matches the Rfam family "Bacterial small subunit ribosomal RNA", at positions 30 to 507 of the family's 1533-position model. The record is from RNAcentral.
AUUGAACGCUGGCGGCAGGCCUAACACAUGCAAGUCGAGCGGAUGGAGGGAGCUUGCUCCUGGAUUCAGGGGCGGACGGGGGAGUAAUGCCUAGGAACCGGCCUGGUAGGGGGGGAUAAAGUUCGGAAAGGGGAGGCAAUACGGCAUAAGGACUGAGGGGGAAAGGGGGGGAUCGUCGGAGCUUAGGCUAUCGGAUGAGCACAGGUCGAAUUAGCCAGUUGGUGGGAUAAAGGCCUACAAGGGCGACAAUCCGUAACUGGUCUGAGAGGAUGAUAAGUCACCCUGGAUGUGAGGCACGUUCCAGACUCCUACGGUAGGCAACAGUGGGGAAUAUUAGACGAUGGACGAAAGCCUGAUCCAGCCCUGCCGCGUGUGUGAAGAUGGUCUUCUGCUUGUAGAGCGCUUUAAGUUGGGAGGUAGGACAGUAAUUUAAUACCUUGCUGUUUUGACGUUACCAACAGAAUAAGCACCGGCUAACUUCGUG